GACGAACGCUGGCGGCGUGCUUAACACAUGCAAGUCGAACGGAAGGGCCCUGCUUUUGUGGGGUGCUCGAGUGGCGAACGGGUGAGUAACACGUGAGUAACCUGCCCUUGACUUUGGGAUAACUUCAGGAAACUGGGGCUAAUACCGGAUAGGAGCUCCUGCUGCAUGGUGGGGGUUGGAAAGUUUCGGCGGUUGGGGCUGGACUCGCGGCUUAUCAGCUUGUUGGUGGGGUAGUGGCUUACCAAGGCUUUGACGGGUAGCCGGCCUGCGAGGUUGACCGGCCACAUUGGUACUGCGAUACGGCCCAGUAUCCUACGGGAGGCAGCGGUGGGGAAUAUUGCACAAUGGGCGGAAGCCAGAUGCAGCAACGCCGCGUGCGGGAUGACGGCCUUCGGGUUGUAAACCGCUUUCGCCUGUGACGAAGCGUGAGUGACGGUAAUGGGUAAAGAAGCACCGGCUAACUACGUG
RNAcentral lists this ribosomal RNA (468 nucleotides) under uncultured bacterium. RNAcentral describes it as "partial 16S ribosomal RNA". It matches the Rfam family "Bacterial small subunit ribosomal RNA", at positions 28 to 507 of the family's 1533-position model. The record is from RNAcentral.